CCCUUAGAUGUUCUGGGCGGCCCGCGCACUACAUUGGCACUCUCAAUAAGUUCCUAGAUCUAAAACUUUGGGGUAUUCUAUUAAGUGGUGUCGUGACUGGGAUUAACCCUUGCAAUUAUUGGUUACGAACGAGGAAUUCCUUGUAAUCGCGGUUUAUCAGCCCGCGUUGAAUGCGUCCCUGCCCUUUGUACACACCGCCCGUCGCUCCUACCGAUGAAUCGUCCGGUGAAGUUCAUGGAGUGGUGGUUGUUCCAGCUGCUGUCGAAGUGAAAUGGCCCUCACGAUUUAGAGGAAGGAGAAGUCGUAACA
RNAcentral lists this ribosomal RNA (309 nucleotides) under uncultured eukaryote. RNAcentral's name for it is "partial 18S ribosomal RNA". It matches the Rfam family "Eukaryotic small subunit ribosomal RNA", at positions 1470 to 1796 of the family's 1831-position model. The record is from RNAcentral.